UACGAAAGGGGCUAGCGUUGUUCGGAAUUACUGGGCGUAAAGCGCACGUAGGCGGCCUUGUAAGAUGGGGGUGAAAACCCUGGGCUCAACCCAGGAACUGCCUUCAUGACUGCAAAGCUCGAGGAUGUGAGAGGUUGGCGGAAUUCCGAGUGUAGAGGUGAAAUUCGUAGAUAUUCGGAAGAACACCGGUGGCGAAGGCGGCCAACUGGCACAUUUCUGACGCUGAGGUGCGAAAGCGUGGGGAGCAAACAGG
RNAcentral lists this ribosomal RNA (253 nucleotides) under uncultured bacterium. RNAcentral describes it as "partial 16S ribosomal RNA". It matches the Rfam family "Bacterial small subunit ribosomal RNA", at positions 524 to 776 of the family's 1533-position model. The record is from RNAcentral.